RNAcentral lists this ribosomal RNA (403 nucleotides) under uncultured bacterium. Its description in RNAcentral is "partial 16S ribosomal RNA". It matches the Rfam family "Bacterial small subunit ribosomal RNA", at positions 28 to 526 of the family's 1533-position model. The record is from RNAcentral.
GACGAACGCUGGCGGCGUGCCUAAUACAUGCAAGUCGAACGCACUGGGGACGGGUGAGUAACACGUGGGUAACCUCCCAUCAGAGGGGAUAACACUUGGAAACAGGUGCUAAACCGAUACUGAUGGAUGGACCCGCGGUGCAUUAGCUAGUUGGUGAGGUAACGGCUCACCAAGGCCACGAUGCAUAGCCGAGCUGAGAGGGGGAUCGGCAACACUGAGACUGAGACAGGGCCGAGACUCCUACGGGAGGAAGCAGUAGGGAAUCUUGGGCAAUGGACGAAAGUCUGACCGAGCGAAGCCGCGUGAGUGAAGAAGGGUGUCGGAUUGUAAAACGCUGUUGUUAGAGGAGCGGUAUCUAACAAGAAAGCCACGGCUAACUACGUGCCAGCAGCCGCGGUAAUAC